This is a long non-coding RNA of Hypomesus transpacificus, 812 nucleotides long. RefSeq lists it as uncharacterized. The transcript has 3 exons. The record is from RefSeq and is a predicted model, not a curated record. NCBI's taxonomy places the organism in Eukaryota, Metazoa, Chordata, Actinopteri, Osmeriformes, Osmeridae.
GAAACUCAGCCACCUGGGGUGACCAGAAAGCAUGACCCUGAAAAGGAGGACACUUGGGUCCAAAAAGGAGGACAAUCCCAAGAAGUUGUUGAUCGGGGGGAUGGGGGCCAUUGGAAGGGUCAAAAAUGAGGACAAAAGGGCGAAAAGGAGGACGCAACAUCGGCCCAGACAAACGGCUGGAAAAUCGGACUGUCCCGCCGACAUCCGGACAUCUGGUCAACCUAUUUGCAGGACGAUUGAGGCGUCUGAGAGACCAGAGAGGUAAUGUUAGACCAGAGAGUAAGCUUAAUGAACUGCUGGUUAUGGAAAUAUCAAUUAAAUGAGCAGAUCAUUAGUGUCUUCAAUUUCCAUUUGUUUGUAUUGCUUAAAGAUCAUUUUAGCUGCAUGAGUAGGCUGGAUAGUAGGUGCUGUACACCUGCAAAUACUGUAUGGGUUUUGUUAAUGGUCUCCCUCAGUGUUGGUUCUGUAGAUAGAUGUGGAGGGUAGUUAGAGGGUAGGUAGUUAUGGAGGGUAGUUAGAGGGUAGGUAGUCAGGUUCUAGGUAGAUGUGGAUGGUAGUCAGGGUGUAGGUAAUCAGUGUGUAGAUAGGUGUGGAGAUUAUUCAGGGUGUAGGUAGGUGUGUUGGGUAGUCAGAUUGUAGGUAGUCAGUGUGUAAGUGGCUAUGGAGAGUAGUCAGGGUGUAGGUAGUCAGGGUGUAGGUAGUCAGGGUGUAGGUAGCUAUGGAAAGUAGUCAGAGUGUAGGUAGACAGGUUCUAGGUAGAUAUGGAGGGUAGUAAGGGUGUAGGUAGGUGUGGAGAGUAGUCAGGGUGUAGG